AUCUUCUCGGCGUUGUCCCGGGGAACACCGAACUGGCUUUUGAUGUCGACGCUCGCGAGCGCGCACAGAGAAGCCCCGCCCCUCGCGGUGCAGCAUCCUGGUCACUUUUUACAGUCGAACGUAUUCUCCGUCACGCCAUUUUCCACCGUCGGCUGGAGGCAGUGCAUCGGCGAGACGGGUGCACGUGAAAAAGAGUUCUUCUCAGCGGUGAAUUCCUUCGGCUCCGGUACAGAUUCCAUCAUGCACCGUGACUGUCCCCUGGACUGUAAGGUCUACGUUGGAAAUUUGGGCAACAAUGGGAACAAAACCGAGUUGGAGCGCGCCUUUGGCUACUACGGACCUCUUCGUAGCGUCUGGGUGGCCAGGAACCCCCCAGGUUUCGCCUUCGUAGAGUUUGAAGAUCCCAGAGAUGCAACGGAUGCGGUGCGAGAACUGGAUGGAAGGACACUGUGCGGCUGCCGGGUGCGCGUGGAGCUGUCUAACGGGGAGAAGCGCAGCCGCAGUCGCGGCGCUCCUCCAUCGUGGAGCAGGCGGCCGCGGGAACGGGACGACUACAGGCGGCGUAGCAGCCCGCCACCCAGGAGAAGAACCACCACCAUGCCUCUUCUCACCACCCUCAGUCAACUAGUCCUCUUUCAGCAUCACGCGACUGCUGACCGUCGUGUCCCAAUCAGCUUGGCUGGUGCUGUCACAUGACCCAGGCUUGGCCAGUCGUCAGGUUGCACCAGCCCAUUGGUUCCUCAGCAUGCCGUUCUCAACCUCCUGCUCCUUCAGCCUUAAACCAAAGGGCAGCCACCCACUUCACAUUCCCGACCAAUCAGCGUAAAAUGUUCCCAAAUGUCUACAACCCACCAGCAGCAGCCGUCAGCUUACCAAUUAAAGCAGGAAAAAAGCCACAACCAGCCCCCAUCUGCCUGCCAUCUAAUCACCUUGCAGCAUCUGUCCACUCCUAUUCCGCCAAUUCUACCUACGCGGCCGGCAGUCUGCCUUCCUUUCGUCAUAUCUAGCUUGUUGAAAUCCAAAAAAACUAGUAAGUUUCCCUGCUUCAUUCAGUACACUGCUGAUUUCAGUUUUGAAAGUGAAGAGACAGCUGGUUUGAAGAGACUUUUAUUGUUUAAACUCUAGCUUUGUCAUCCACCAUGUGAGUCUUUGUUUCAAUGGGAGUGAUCAGAUAGAUGGAGCCUGCUGUCAGAGGAGCUUGAUGGUGCUGAUGUUAGGGGAUCUGGGCACAUCGUAGGUCACAGCAGUCACAACUCUGUUAGCUGGAAAAAGGCUAGCUUCAGGUAAACGGGUCAGUGGGGGGGUUGAUUAGUCAAACACAGAGCAGUUUACAACAUUUGUUUCUUUUUUUUUUAGCACAAGAAAAAUUUGCAGCCUGUUUCAGUAAUUUUUUAAGCUAUCUUCACACCGAAUGGGAUUCACACGUCGAAGGCGUCCAGUUUUGUGCUGACACGAUCUGAGGUUCGGCAGCGGCGCCUCGGGCGGUGCAUCCAGACUUCAAAUGUCUAAACGUUGGCGUUGAAUUCGUUAACCACCCAGGGACUUGCCUCAGGCCUGUGAUGACGUGAUCUGAGGGCUGUGUCCAAAACCGAAAUGGAGAAUCUGAUAGUUUUCCGUCUGAGCUGUGUCUUUAUUUGUUCCCACACAAUAAUAAGUUCCUCUAAUUUUAUUUUCAUUUUUCCCCCUCGGACGACAAGUCAUUCAGACGAAGCUCCUGCGGUGGACGGCCGAGCUCGCCGUAUCAAGUGAGGUUGAGUGAUGUCAUGAGACGUGAUUACCGAUGCUUUUGUGGAGCUUUUCCAUGUAAAUUUUGACGUCAACCGUGUCUUCUGUGCAUUGGAAAAGAAAUGUCAAUGCUUCCCAGUAGCCGUCGGGCUAAAGAAUUUGGACAGUAGCUCCUCCCCCAUACGUGGCGGAGGCGUCAAAUUUAUCAACACAAUUCUGGACGGGCAUCCAGCUGCGAAUUUGAGGCGUGAAUCGCGUUUGGUGUGAAUGCAGGGUUGGGCUUCAUCUUAGGACACACUAACCCCUAUUCAUUUUUUCUGACUAGAGUAGUCAUGUGACCUGAGUAGUGUGGUGGGCUAGGUUAGCAGAGAUUCCUGAUCUUCUGCUUUCUCUGAGGGCUUGGCUUUAUGGUCAGUGACUCUAUUUUCUUUGGGGAUUUUUUUUUUCCCUCCUGGAAAUAAAGGCUUUCAUCUCUGGUUUUUGUUGGCGACAACAAAGGGCUGUUUGAGGUAGUCUAUGGUAGAAGUCAUAUGAUGUGGAGCUUCGUUGAAGAACCAAAUGUCUUUGUGCUCACCAGCUGUCUUUUCCUUGUGCAGAUCUCCCCGUAGGCGAAGCUUCAGCCGCAGCCGGAGCAGGUCUUUCUCCAAAGACAGGAGGAGAGAAAGAUCCCUCUCCAGGGACAGGAACCACAAACCCUCUCGGUCCUUCUCUCGAUCCAGGAGCCGCUCCAGGUCAAACGACAGGAAAUAGAAGAAACCGCCGGUUUUAAGGGAGCUGUUUGGACCGGCUCCAGCUUUUCGUUCAAUGGACUUCAGCUUUGACAUUUAGUCUUUUUGUUUUUCUUUUUUUUUUAUAGCAAUCGAGUAUUUUAGAUUAUGUUUCUUUUUACAGAUGGGGUUGUUUUGAGUGCAUUGAGCGUCUCAACGGUGCUUGUUUGUUCUGACCCAUCCCUGCCGUCUUUGUUCUCCUGUCCAUGAAUGUACGACGCCCUCCCUCCCACAUUCUUCUUUGUUUCCACUGUACGAACGCCAACUUCUGUUUUUGAUUGACACGCACCUCCAGAGAUGUGAAGUGCUCCGCUCACAACGCCGAUCUAUUUUCAAUGUAGUCCUUUCAUUCACAUGUUUAGCGGUGGUCUUGUUGCCCCUCAGUUCAGCAAGGAAAAACUGUGGAACCGAUUUAAAGAAACUGAAACGGAAGUCUGAUUUUUGCUUUUCAAGUUUUACAUUGUUAUUCUUUUGUUUAAUACUGUGUAAACUGGUCUCAAUUAAAAACUGAUUUAAAAAAUGA
RNA transcript from Oryzias latipes (Japanese medaka), 3015 nucleotides. It is a transcript of the gene named serine and arginine rich splicing factor 3b, with no coding region annotated. The record is from RefSeq and is a predicted model, not a curated record. NCBI's taxonomy places the organism in Eukaryota, Metazoa, Chordata, Actinopteri, Beloniformes, Adrianichthyidae.